Molecule: ribosomal RNA, 582 nt
Filed under: uncultured Castellaniella sp.
Lineage: Bacteria; Pseudomonadati; Pseudomonadota; Betaproteobacteria; Burkholderiales; Alcaligenaceae
Description: bacterial SSU rRNA
Rfam family: Bacterial small subunit ribosomal RNA
Source: RNAcentral
GAGUUUGAUCAUGGCUCAGAUUGAACGCUAGCGGCAUGCCUUACACAUGCAAGUCGAACGGCAGCACGAAGAGCUUGCUCUUUGGUGGCGAGUGGCGAACGGGUGAGUAAUGUAUCGGAACGUGCCCAGUAGCGGGGAAUAACUACGCGAAAGCGUCGCUAAUACCGCAUACGCCCUACGGGGGAAAGGGGGGGAUCUUAUGACCUCUCACUAUUGGAGCGGCCGAUAUCGGAUUAGCUAGUUGGUGAGGUAAAGGCUCACCAAGGCUGCGAUCCGUAGCUGGUUUGAGAGGACGACCAGCCACACUGGGACUGAGACACGGCCCAGACUCCUACGGGAGGCAGCAGUGGGGAAUUUUGGACAAUGGGGGCAACCCUGAUCCAGCCAUCCCGCGUGUGCGAUGAAGGCCUUCGGGUUGUAAAGCACUUUUGGCAGGAAAGAAACCGCGCGGGCUAAUAACCUGUGCUAAUGACGGUACCUGCAGAAUAAGCACCGGCUAACUACGUGCCAGCAGCCGCGGUAAUACGUAGGGUGCAAGCGUUAAUCGGAAUUACUGGGCGUAAAGCGUGCGCAGGCGGUUCG